CAAUAGCGUAUAUUAAAGUUGUUGCAGUUAAAAAGCUCGUAGUUGGAUUUCUGGUGGGAGCGAUCGGUCUGGCGCUUAGCGCGAGUACUUGCAUCGUCUCCGGCCAUCCUUGGGGAGAGUCUGUCUGGCAUUAAGUUGUCGGGCAGAGGAUCCUCAUCGUUUACUGUGAAAAAAUUAGAGUGUUCAAAGCAGGCUUAUGCCGUUGAAUAUAUUAGCAUGGAAUAAUAAGAUAGGACUUUGGUACUAUUUUGUUGGUUUGCGCACCAAAGUAAUGAUUAAUGGGGACAGUUGGGGGUAUUCGUAUUCCGUUGUCAGAGGUGAAAUUCUUGGAUUUACGGAAGACGAACUACUGCGAAAGCAUUUACCAAGGAUGUUUUCAUUAA
Molecule: ribosomal RNA, 383 nt
Filed under: uncultured eukaryote
Lineage: Eukaryota
Description: partial 18S ribosomal RNA
Rfam family: Eukaryotic small subunit ribosomal RNA
Source: RNAcentral